GCGGGUACAUACGUGGUGGGUAGCAAGACUUUUGUUCGGACAUUAUUGGAGACGUAAAGUCAGCGUGUAGAGCGGUCUGAUUAGUCAUGAUGUGAAAGCCCUGGGCUCAACACCAGGAAGUGCAUUGGAUACUGUCAGACUUGAAUACGGGAGAGGGUAGUGGAAUUCCUAGUGUAGGAGUGAAAUCCGUAGAUAUUAGGAGGAACACCGGUGGCGAAGGCGGCUACCUGGACCGAUAUUGACGCUGAGACGCGAAAGCGUGGGUAGCAAACAGGAUUAGAUACCCUGGUAGUCCACGCCGUAAACGAUGAGUACUAGGUGUCGCGGGUA
This 330-nucleotide ribosomal RNA is filed under the name uncultured Geobacter sp. Its description in RNAcentral is "bacterial SSU rRNA". The stretch from base 51 to 330 matches the Rfam family "Bacterial small subunit ribosomal RNA", at positions 557 to 831 of the family's 1533-position model. Lineage: Bacteria; Pseudomonadati; Thermodesulfobacteriota; Desulfuromonadia; Geobacterales; Geobacteraceae. The record is from RNAcentral.